ACUACGGGAGGCAGCAGUAGGGAAUCUUCCACAAUGGACGAAAGUCUGAUGGAGCAACGCCGCGUGAGUGAAGAAGGGUUUCGGCUCGUAAAGCUCUGUUGGUAGUGAAGAAAGAUAGAGGUAGUAACUGGCCUUUAUUUGACGGUAAUUACUUAGACAGUCACGGCUAACUACGUGCCCGCAGCCGCGGUAAUACGUAGGUGGCAAGCGUUGUCCGGAUUUGUUGGGCGUAAAGCGAGUGCAGGCGGUUCAAUAAGUCUGAUGUGAAAGCCUUCGGCUCAACCGGAGAAUUGCAUCAGAAACUGUUGAACUUGAGUGCAGAAGAGGAGAGUGGAACUCCAUGUGUAGCGGUGGAAUGCGUAGAUAUAUGGAAGAACACCAGUGGCGAAGGCGGCUCUCUGGUCUGCAACUGACGCUGAGGCUCGAAAGCAUGGGUAGCGAACAGGAUUAGAUACCCUUGUAGUC
RNAcentral lists this ribosomal RNA (465 nucleotides) under uncultured bacterium. RNAcentral describes it as "partial 16S ribosomal RNA". It matches the Rfam family "Bacterial small subunit ribosomal RNA", at positions 338 to 795 of the family's 1533-position model. The record is from RNAcentral.